This 292-nucleotide ribosomal RNA is filed under the name uncultured bacterium. RNAcentral describes it as "partial 16S ribosomal RNA". It matches the Rfam family "Bacterial small subunit ribosomal RNA", at positions 28 to 314 of the family's 1533-position model. The record is from RNAcentral.
GAUGAACGCUGGCGGCGUGCCUAAUACAUGCAAGUCGAACGAGGUGCUUGAGUAGCAAUACGAGAGUAUCCUAGUGGCGAACGGGUGAGUAACGCGUUGGUGACCUACCCCAAAGUGUGGGAUAACAGUCCGAAAGGAUUGCUAAUACCGCAUGUAGUCUUCGGGUUUAGAAACCGAUGACUAAAGGAGCAAUUCGCUUUGGGAGGGACCUGCGUCCCAUCAGCUAGUUGGUGAGGUAACGGCUCACCAAGGCUACGACGGGUAGGGGACCUGAGAGGGUGACCCCCACAAU